ACUGCUCAGCUAACACGUGGAUAACCUACCCAAUAGUCUGGGAUAACCCCGGGAAACUGGGGAUAAUACCGGAUAGAUCAUCUUUGCUGGAAGGCUUGGUGGUUGAAACUCUUCGGGGGCUGUUGGAUGGGUCUGCGGCUGAUUAGGUUGUUGCCGGUGUAAUGUACCGUCAAGCCUGUAAUCAGUACGGGUUGUGGGAGCAAGAGCCCGGAGAUGGAUUCUGAGACACGAAUCCAGGCCCUACGGGGCGCAGCAGGCGCGAAAACUCUACAAUGCAGGCAACUGCGAUAGGGGAACAUCGAGUGAUCCUCAUAUUGGGGGUCUGUCCACCCGCCUAAAAAGCGGGUGUUAGCAAGGGCCGGGCAAGACCGGUGCCAGCCGCCGCGGUAAUACCGGCGGCUCGAGUGGUGGCCGAUAUUAUUGAGUCUAAAGGGUCCGUAGCCGGCUUUGCAAGUCUCUCGGGAAAUCCAGCGGCUUAACCGUUGGUCGUCCGGGGGGUACUACAUUGCUUGGGACUGGGAGAGGCGAGAGGUACUCAGGGGGUAGGAGUGAAAUCCUGUAAUCCUCUGGGGACCACCGGUGGUGAAGGCGUCUCGCCAGAACAGGUCCGACGGUGAGGGACGAAAGCUAGGGGCACGAACCGGAUUAGAUACCCGGGUAGUCCUAGCCGUAAACGAUGCUCGCUAGGUGUCACAACAGUCGUGAACUGUUGUGGUGCCGUAGGGAAGCCGUGAACGCGAGCCAUCUUGGGAAGUACGACCGCAAGGUUGAAACUUAAAGGAAUUGGCGGGGGAGCACA
RNAcentral lists this ribosomal RNA (799 nucleotides) under uncultured archaeon. Its description in RNAcentral is "bacterial SSU rRNA". It matches the Rfam family "Archaeal small subunit ribosomal RNA", at positions 85 to 880 of the family's 1478-position model. The record is from RNAcentral.